GUGUCAGCCGCCGCGGUAAUACGUAGGGGGCAAGCGUUGUCCGGAAUUAUUGGGCGUAAAGCGCGCGCAGGCGGCUUUGUAAGUUUGGUGUUUAAUCUCAGAGCUCAACUCUGAUUCGCAUCGAAAACUGCAAGGCUUGAGUACAGAAGAGGAAAGUGGAAUUCCACGUGUAGCGGUGAAAUGCGUAGAGAUGUGGAGGAACACCAGUGGCGAAGGCGACUUUCUGGGCUGUAACUGACGCUGAGGCGCGAAAGCGUGGGGAGCAAACAGGAUUAGAAACCCGGGUAGUCC
This 291-nucleotide ribosomal RNA is filed under the name uncultured bacterium. RNAcentral describes it as "partial 16S ribosomal RNA". It matches the Rfam family "Bacterial small subunit ribosomal RNA", at positions 505 to 796 of the family's 1533-position model. The record is from RNAcentral.